Molecule: unclassified non-coding RNA, 400 nt
Filed under: soil metagenome
Description: partial contains 5.8S ribosomal RNA, internal transcribed spacer 2, and large subunit ribosomal RNA
Rfam family: 5.8S ribosomal RNA (bases 1-122)
Source: RNAcentral
GAUGAAGAACGUAGCGAAAUGCGAUACUUGGUGUGAAUUGCAGAAUCCCGUGAACCAUCGAGUCUUUGAACGCAAGUUGCGCCUCAAGCCAUUAGGUUGAGGGCACGUCUGCCUGGGCGUCACAUAUCGUUGCCUGAUGCCAGUUUCCUCGUGAUGGGUGACUGUGCAGGGCGAAUGAUGGCUUCCCGUGAGCAUUGUUGCCUCAUGGUUGGUUGAAAAUUGAGUCCUUGGUAGGGAGCGCCGUGAUAGAUGGUGGUUGAGUGACGAACGAGACCCAAUCAUGUGAGACACCUACCGAAUUUGGCCUUCAUGACCCACAUGCGUCUUUGGAACGCUCAUGACGAGACCUCAGGUCAGGCGAGGCUACCCGCUGAGUUUAAGCAUAUCAAUAAGCGGAGGA